AGAGCUGUGUCAACUGUACCCAUGAGAGCUUGAUAACUGUUUCAUACUUCCUAUCAGUCCCACCUUUGACAUCAGUAACCUGAGCUGAAAUGGAUUCAUUUCUGCGCAACACAUAAGAAGUGUGUGUUGAUGGAUUGCAUUUCAUGAAAUGGAAAUGUUUUGUAUGCCUCUCAUCAUAUGCAACUCAGGGUCUUUUCUGCUUUAGCAUAGAUACCAGCAAGGGAUCAUCUGAUAAAGGAAGGAGGAAUAUUAAAGAAAUA
This 260-nucleotide long non-coding RNA is filed under the name Monodelphis domestica (gray short-tailed opossum). Its description in RNAcentral is "lncRNA (ENSMODG00000036675.1)". The record is from RNAcentral. Lineage: Eukaryota; Metazoa; Chordata; Mammalia; Didelphimorphia; Didelphidae.